RNAcentral lists this ribosomal RNA (570 nucleotides) under uncultured bacterium. RNAcentral's name for it is "bacterial SSU rRNA". It matches the Rfam family "Bacterial small subunit ribosomal RNA", at positions 197 to 787 of the family's 1533-position model. The record is from RNAcentral.
GUGUGAAAAACUCCGGUGGUAUAAGAUGGACCCGCGUUGGAUUAGCUAGUUGGUGAGGUAACGGCCCACCAAGGCGACGAUCCAUAGCCGACCUGAGAGGGUGACCGGCCACAUUGGGACUGAGACACGGCCCAAACUCCUACGGGAGGCAGCAGUGGGGAAUAUUGCACAAUGGGCGAAAGCCUGAUGCAGCGACGCCGCGUGAGCGAAGAAGUAUUUCGGUAUGUAAAGCUCUAUCAGCAGGGAAGAUAAUGACGGUACCUGACUAAGAAGCACCGGCUAAAUACGUGCCAGCAGCCGCGGUAAUACGUAUGGUGCAAGCGUUAUCCGGAUUUACUGGGUGUAAAGGGAGCGCAGGCGGUGCGGCAAGUCUGAUGUGAAAGCCCGGGGCUCAACCCCGGUACUGCAUUGGAAACUGUCGUACUAGAGUGUCGGAGGGGUAAGCGGAAUUCCUAGUGUAGCGGUGAAAUGCGUAGAUAUUAGGAGGAACACCAGUGGCGAAGGCGGCUUACUGGACGAUAACUGACGCUGAGGCUCGAAAGCGUGGGGAGCAAACAGGAUUAGAUACCC